GCUCCCUGCUCUGCACUACAGGCAUAAAGCAAUUUGCAUUGGACAACCUGGACCUUUAAGCUUCUCUUUUCUUUAGCCAAAUACGCCCUUUCUGUGCCUCUCAAAUUUUGAGUGCUGUAACAAGCCCUUCCAAGUGUAAUAUUUUUAGGGUAUUUUUGACGCUGAUUUAUUCCCCUUUCCUGAAAGGCACACUGAGGAAACAGGAAUGAGAUAUGGCAAGGAUCAGCAAAAUCCAGUGGUCUCAAUCACUUGACUCCUGUCUGCACUCCCUACUUACUGACAGAUGCAGCCAGCCAACAGCGCACUUACUUUUAUGGUCAGACAACUCUACCACUUCACAUGUAUUCAUUUGACUCCUGAAUUCAUGAAUAUGAAUUUUUCAAGUUUGAAAAUAAGUAGCCAAGGGGAAAGCAUUCUUUAUUUAAGGAUUAGGAAGAGAAGGGGCAGCAGGUAAAUCAGCAACACACAACAGACAAGGCAAGCCUACCCUGACCUGCUCUGGAUCCUGUAGCUCCAUAAUCCCAAUCCCACAAGCAGGAGAACAGCAACAUGCCUCGAAUGGGACCUGACUCUGGCAGCUCAGGUGCUCCUGCCUUCCUCUUGCUGCUUUGGAUUACAAGCUGAUGUGGAAAAAGCUGCCCAGGUGUCUCCUGGGCAGAUGAUUUGCCCAGCAACCCAAGAGCUUGAAACUUUAAGAAACAAAAAGCUUGAGGGAAUUAUUUCACAUAUCAACAUUGGCUUUGACAUGAGGAAAUGUCUCCUACUGAUGUAGUAGUAACACUGUUAUCCUUAAUGCUUUCCUUUAAAUAUCCAUUUUCACUAAGCUUCAUCUGUCUCGUCAUUACAGUCGGUGAAAUGAGAUCAAGGGGCUUAACGACUUUGAGUAUCAAAGAACAACUCUGACUUUGCCAGUGCUGAAAACCCACAGAAGAGAACUCCCCAGUGCUGUUUCUGAAAUAUGCUGAAUGGGAUCAAAGCCAUCCUGUUAUUGCAACUACGAAUAUAUCCUAAAUCUGACUUAAAAAAGAAAUGCUACCCUAACAGCUGGAUGAUGACAACUGCAAAUUUCUCAGUUUAGUAUCAAUUUGAUCUACAUUUUUCAUUAUAACACUGGCAUUAGACCAUAUGGGCUGUUUAUGUCCCCUGAAGUCUUUCAAAUCACUAUUCUUGCCUGACUUGAAUCAGUACUUGAUGCUUAACCCAAACAUGGAGUAAGACCUGAACGAAUUACUCGCAGACUCAAAAAUCCUAAUCACUGCUGGAAAGGAGGAGAUACCUGUUCCACCAACAGCUUCAAGCAGUCUGCAGGUAAGGAAUUCCAAGGACGGUGCAGCCUGUAAGGGAGCUGGGUGGCUGCAGCUUCUCCACAUCCAUCCCCACAUCCAGAACAACAGCUUCUGACAGAGCUUUUGAAGAAACCAGUUUCCUGUGGAAUGAGCAGUCUUAGAUACACAUAGUCAAAGAGAAGCUGUCAACACUUAAUAUUAGACUGAAAGGAAGUGUCUCUCAUAAUGGCUGCAGCCAUUCCUGCUCCAGAGAAGUCUCCACUGCAUGAUCCUCUUUCCAACACUCACUCCAUCAGCCAAGGGCACUUUCACCUCAAGGAGGAGGCCCGCUCCACCAUGGCUUUUAAAGCUCCUUUUAAAAUCUAGUCAGCCCAGACAGACUGGGCUGGAGUCAGACUGGAAAACACUUAGGAGGUCAAAUCCUUUCAGGUGUGCAAAUGCCACUCUGGACCCCAGGGAAACACAGGUUGAAACUCACACCCACCAAGCACCACCACCACCACCAGGCUGCUGGCAGCUGAAGGCCCACCAGAAUCAGGCAGUGGUUCAAUGGGGCUUUGCACAUGCCAAUUUUGAUUUCAAUGCCUAAAUUCUUUCUCAGAGUCCACUGCAAUUGAAAUCAUAGAACUAAGCUAUAGAAUAAGCGAUCCAUUUUUUCACCACACUCUUAAAUUCUGUUCAAGAGAGGAAUGAACUGUCACCAAACAGGAUUAAGAAGGGGGUGCAGCUUCUCCAGAGGUUUUCAGCAACAUCAGCAGCAGACAAAGAGUAACUCCACAGCAACUUCGCAUUAUUCUCUCCUGCCAACUCUUUCCCUGCAGAUGAUCCACAUCGACACAGUGUGAAUGACUGCAUCCCCCUCUACUGGCUAGCCCCGGACUGGGACCCUAUUUUGUCCCUUAGAAGCUGUCCCUCCACUCAAAUUACAACCUGUUGGCACUGAUGCAGUAGCUCAAACACUGCUGAGGUGUUUCUUACAGAAAAAAGCCCAAAAUAGGGUAACUGCUAUUAAAUGGUAUUUUGGUAAUUGUUAACAGUAGGUCAGCGUAUAGAAGUAAAAAUACAAAACACCACAACUAUUGCAUUCGUUUUAUUGAUUAACACUACAUGUGACCUAACCUGAGCAUUUUACCAUUAUACUGAGAAAAAAGGCUGAUGUAUAAGGUUAUAACUCCUAGGCCUAUGUUGUCUUCCUAUGCUGAAUCACACUGCAAGAAAGGUUCUAUGAGAGCAUGUGAUCUGAAAUAUCACUUGAGAUAAAUGAUAAACACUGUCUUAUUGAUGAAGCUGACACAAGAACUACACCUCAAGUGAGUGCAAUAUUUAAGAAUACUUAAAACAAUAUACAAAACUAAUAAUAUUGAAUAUGCUUGUGCAAUAUCAUACUCAUGUCUCCUGCAAAGAACUGCAAGUACAGUUCUUGGAGUAAGAAUACAUCUGCCACACUGCUACUGCAGAUGGCUUAGAAGGAAAGGGUUUCACUCACUUGCUGUUACCAACAACAAAUUCUCAUUAGCAGCAAACUGCAGAGUCCUCCUCCUCCUGUGAAACCUGAGCCCUAGGGGAGGUCUGUUAUACCACCUGUGACUGUGACAUCUAAAGAAAAUGCGUCACUAUCUGACUUUUAAAUAUGACAAAACCAUGGAACAGCUGCAAGAAUCCUACAAAUACCAACUACACUUCAACAUUCAUUGAAAUCAGUCCUCAACUUCAGCUCCUUUUUGCCUCCCAACAAAUGUAACUCCUAAAUGUAAGCCUACUUCAGAACUCUACUUCAAUGAUGGUUGUGGUCUGUGAAGGGCACAGUGAGAGUUUGAGACCUGAGCAGAAGCACAGGCAAAGUCUGAGUCCCCAGCCCAAAGUGGCCUCUUCUCCCUUUCAGUAUCCUUCAUGCAUGUUCCAAAUUCAACUGUUUCCAGUGCUUGUAAAACAAUCUCGAGGAAGCAUAAAGGUUUGAAUAAACAAGAAGCAAUCAUAACCCUAUGAUGAUUGUGCAUGCAAACACAUUAAGAGGUUAUGGAAACAGAGAUGUGGAAUGGGAAUACAUCACCACAAAACCAUCAGAUAUGGGGAGAUUAAUAAAAUAGUAAAAUGUAUCCCCCCAACAAUAACCACUGUGCCCACAGGAGGUGGCUGUAAGGAGAAUUUUAGCACAGUGCCCCGAACAUUGUUAGAACACAGCUGGAAUAGCCUGCUUCUGCAAAAAAUGAUUUUGACAAAGGUGUGUUUGCAGAUCCAAAGCCAUUUCCUGAGAAAACUUGUGACCAGCACUAAUCAGUAUAUCUACACUGUUAAUUCUGCAUAGAAAGCUGCACACUUAAGGUAAUGAAAACAGGGACAGAGGAUUAAUCGAAUGAAAAGAAAAUAAUUAUAAAAGGCUUUUUUUUUUAACCAACAGCCCUGUUGCUGCAUUCCAGUAAGAGAUAUAAAGGAAAUUAACUCUACAUCUCAUUAGAGAAAAUUGGGCCUAAGGAGACCAAAAAAAAAGACAGGAAUAUGUAUGUUAGUAGCCAGAGGGAGACUGAAGUGGACAAAAACCUUCUCAAAAAAUGCAAAAAAUCCAUGAGAAUUAACAUCCCCACCUGGGCCAAUCUUUGGGGCAGAGAGGGGAGGCAAUUCUGGGCUCUGAGGUGCCACGUUCCAAUGAGGCUCUGAGCCUUCAGCUCAGCCAGCCACCACAAGGAGUGCGCUGGAGGCUCACUUCCCAGCUCACACAAACCCUGCUCAUGUUGCUUCAUCACUGGGUUAUGUUAUGGACCCUGCAAAAAGGCAACUUCUUACCUUUGAUGCACCCCCUGGAGACUUGCUUAGUUUAAGAGCUGCUCUCUGUCCCUUUAGCAAAUACUCUCUUCCUUAACCUUAAGAAAGCAAUCCUGGUGUCUGCCAGAGCUCUGCUUGAGCAGACUCAUUAAGGGAGGCCAAACGAAGCUUCCCAUGACCCAGUACAUUUCAGAGAAAGCACCAGGAUCACAGGGCUAAACUAGUUUUUCUUGGCUAUUGGAUUUAUUUUGGCUGUAAAUAUUUUGGCUUCCUUCCCUAUCAGUAUGCCAACGAAAACACAGAUCCAAGGUUUUCAGAGUCCGGGAUUGUAGAAAUUCUGAAAAAUGACAAAGUGAAACACAUACCAGCUAAUAAAGAGCUAUUCAUGCUCUAAAUACCCUCUUGUGCUGCUCUGCACAGAGUGUAGAUCAGCUUCUGGAAAUGUUGAGCCUGUUUGCCCUACCACUGAUCUUGUUCUGCAGCAAGUCACAUGGAUGCUUUCUUUACAUGCAACCUCUCUGAUUUCUAAGCAGUUAAUUAUUCCUCUCCCACAAAAACACAAUGCUAUCCUAUUUUUUCUUACUAUUUGAAUUAAAUAGACAUUGGGGAACACAACUUACAGAAAAGGCUACCAAACAUCUGUUUACACUGGAGAUGGUAACCCAGUGUCAUUAGGGGGCACCAAAGGCAACAACCUUAUUUUUUUAUCCUUCUCCAUUAAUAUUGGAAUGCUGUUAUUGCAAUUUAAUACUGCAAUAUUCCCUUCUCAAGGAAUCCACUCACAUGAUUACCCUCCAUAGACUGCAACCCCAGGCUUGUGGGGCUGCUUGUAGCAACACUCCCUCCAAAGGCCUACAAGUGCAGCAAGUAGAGGAACCCCAAACUGCCCAUCUCCCUGCCCACAACCUGGAAAUGGAGUUGCAUCUUUCCAACAAUGGAUUUACCUACAAUACCAAUUCUGUCCUUGGAAAUUAGUCAAUGACUCCAACAGUGCUAUAUGCAUCGACAAAUCAGCUCACACUAUUUAGCAAAACAGACUCCUGUAGCUAAAGACAAAAGAUGUGGAAAAGAAAAACUUACUUGUACACACUUCUUGCCCUAAGGACCUUAAAUUGAGAUCUCAUUUAUCAGUAUGUGCUUACUACAUGAGUAAAAAGUGAAAAGUAUCUCACUCCUUUAAAAACCAGUGGGGAAAAAAGAAUCAGAUACUCAGUUAAAGAUAGCCCAGCACCCAAGGCCAGGAGUGAGGUAGGGUGGAUUAUAUUACUCUUCUGCUAUGUUAAUCAUUCUGGGUAUAUAACUCACUGCUUUGGUGACAGAGGUACCAACUCACAAAACCAUUUUCUUGCCCAGAAUCUAAACACCACUCUUUUGCUUUCAGACUAUGGAAUUUUUAUGGAAUCAAUUUUUAUCCUGCAGGAUGACCAGACACAGAAAAGGAAAUCAUACACAGAGAUGGGCAAAGGUACAGAUUUUUCUGACUAAAUAAUUAAUAAAUUUGACAGCUUUUCUAUUCUUUCCUUUUCCUCAACCUGGAAUCUGAAUUUUAUGCACUAAGUAAAGGUCUGCAAAGACAGGGGCUCCUCUUUGAGCAACAGAAGAUUGAGCUGACACAGUUCUUCCAGGGGUAAUUCUCAGCUACCACUCAAGGUGUUUUAUGGAAACCACGGUAGUAUACAGAGUUUACUUUCCUCACUUCCAGACCAAAACUACAGCAAACAAAAAACAAACAAAAAAAUCCCACCAAACCAAACAAGAAAAAACAAACAAAACACCAAACCAUUUAAAUCUCAAAGGUAAUUUUUAACAUCAAUCCAAUGCUAAUGUACUUGAGCUAAGAAAAAAUUACUUUUACAGUAGGAACUGAAAGUAGACUAAAUUGAAAACUGACUUUGGAGCAAAGAACAAAUGCUUUUUCCACUCAAGGCAGAGAAAAAAUGCUGAUGUAAAACCUUGUCAAUAAUUGUCUAUCACUUCAUAUUUCUGUACACUGACUUGUUCUUUAAACCUGUUUCUAGCACAUACUACUACUAACACAGAGAUGCAAACUCAUUUCCUUCCAGUGAACUAGCCUGUCAAAGUUGAGGCAGCAAAAGAAUUGAGCUAAGUACAAAUAGUGCCUCACUCCCUCCAUCUC
Passer domesticus (house sparrow) is the source of this 6183-nucleotide long non-coding RNA. RefSeq lists it as uncharacterized. NCBI's taxonomy places the organism in Eukaryota, Metazoa, Chordata, Aves, Passeriformes, Passeridae. The transcript is spliced from 3 exons. The record is from RefSeq and is a predicted model, not a curated record.